This 13518-nucleotide long non-coding RNA is filed under the name Homo sapiens (human). Its description in RNAcentral is "non-protein coding lnc-IDH3B-2:2". Lineage: Eukaryota; Metazoa; Chordata; Mammalia; Primates; Hominidae. The record is from RNAcentral.
CUUUUCCGGCCUCUGCAGCUGCGCGGGCGGGCGUGGUUGCCGGGGACGCGCGGCCCCCGGUCGGGCACUGCAGGCGGCGAAACGACUUGGGAAGGCCCUUUCGGGGUAAUAGUCCGGUUCCUGAUGUUCUUGUCAUAUGAGUUACGGGCAGCAGAGCUGGGUGAAGUCGGGGCGGGAGGUCCGCGUGGGGCGCGGCGUCCAUCCCAGACAGAGACCGCUGCCUAGCCGGCUUCCCGCUUCGUCCGUGGCCUCGGGCCCCAGACCCUGCGCCCCACGUCCCCGGGACCCAGGCGUUCCCGUCCCCUACUCGGGGACGAGCCUCCCCGGCGCCGGGUGGGCGGUGCAUCCUUUCCUCCCACCCGUAACGGGAGCGGUGCCUGGCGCGCUCUGGCGCAGACCCUGCUGGGAAUGUAGCUCGCGCAGUUUUCUUCGUACUAUUAAUUUAUUUCUUUUUUUUGUUUUUGGUUUUUUUUUUUUAAAUGACUGUAGCAGGCAGUAACGUGCGAAAGAAAGACGCUCCAGCGUCUUCCUAGGCCAGUUUCUUGUUGCUGUGCUGCACGGGACCCAGCUCCUUUUGCUGGGCCACGUGUUGCUCCUCCGCUUGGGCGGCCCUGAAUUCUGGGCGCUGGUGAUCGCUGAGUGAAUCGCAGCUGCUUCCCUGUCCUUGAGGGCGUCUUUUGGGCACUCAGGCGACUCUUUAGAAAUGAGUUUUGCUUUAAUAAUUAAUAUUAACGUUAUAAAUCCAAAACCUAGUUAUACUUAAGUAGCGUAUCCCCUGGUAUGUUUUAAAGAGUCAUUCGAAGGGGAUUUUUAAAAAUAAUGUAUAGCUAUAAACUGCAUUUAUACAUUUAAUUGUUAUUUUGUUAAGCGAUUGAGUUACUUGACAAAAUCCAAGUACAUAGUUCACUCACAAAUCUAAUAUGUCAAACCUAAAUGUGGUUGGUAAAUCUUACUCUCAUAAUUUCAAUAUGGUUUACAGAUGUGGUUGAAUUCUGUUACACAUGUCUACUUACGAGUCAGAAUCGUUAUUCCAUUUAAUAUUUUAAAAUGGAAUUGCCAAGUUAAUCCAUACAUUAGCAUGUUAAAUUAUUUUAACCGUCGUGAAUACAUCAAAAUAGACGAUUCCAAAAUGUAAUGGAAAAUACUAAUGCUAAUACUUCAAUUUACUUCAUUAUUUCUGCCCUUAAUCCUGAAUCUUCCUGGAGUUACAGGUGCUUAUCCACUAAACCAGGGGUUUUCAAGCAAGAAGUCAGAAUGCAUUAAUGGACAGCAUUUAAAAAAAUAGGAUUGGGUGGGCUAUAAUCCAGCACUUUAGGAGGCCGAGGCAGGCGGAUCACUUAAGAUCAGGAGUUCGAGACCAGCCUGGCCAACAUGGUGAAACCCCGUCUCUACCAAAAAAUAAAAAAAUUAGCUGGACGUGGUGGAGCAUGUCUGUAAUCCCAGCUACUCGGGAGGCUGAGGAAGGAGAAUCGCUUGAACCCGGGAGGCAGAGGCUGCACUCUAGCCUGGGCAACAGAGCAAGGCUCUGUCAAAAAAAAAAAAAAAAAAAAAAAAAAGAAAAAGGAUUAAAGCGAAUAGAAAUAAGAGUGUGUUGCUUAGAGUAAGGUGCUGUUCAUUGUAAAACUUUUGUCUCAGCUCUACAUACAUAUAUAGAAAUAUGUACACAAAUAUUUUUCAUAUAUACAUAUAUAUGUAACUAUAUGAACACACUUUUGUGUGUUAAAUCAGAAUAUAAAAAACCUGAGGGUCAAUCAAUGAGCCAAAAGGUAACCAGUCGUACUCUGGAAAAAUUUGGGUCCUCUGGUUACAAAGGAGCUGUCAUGAAGUAGUUUGCUGACUUACAGAGAUGGCUGAAGAAAAGUGCUUCUGCUGGUGAGAUAACCAAUGCUUGUGAUCAGAUAUGGAUGUGGUAUGAACAUUAAAAGGUUUCCUUCGGUUUUCUCAUCUCCAUCCCUUCAAUAAAAUAUCUCACCCUGAUACUUGUAGUCUGACUCUAGUGGGAUAACACAGGACUCCUGUUAUCCUUGACACUGUUAUCCAGUUAUCCAGGGGGCAUCUCUGCAACCUGUGGUGGAGUAGACCAUCUUUGCCUUCCGCUUGGACUGUUUGCUGGGUGCACUGCUCCUGUCUAGGCUCAGGUCUUCACCACCAAAGUAGACUUUUUACAAAACCUUUGGUUUCCCCUUCAAGGCACUUUCUACUGCCAGAAUGAUCUUUCUAAGGCAGAAUAUCCAACCAGGUGCAAUUUGUGGGUGCUUACAGGGUCAUGAAAUACCACCUAUGGUAGUUAGUUUCCACAAAUGGCCAAGAUAGACGUGUGGGUGAAGCCAUCCUGUGUGUCCCAGCCCCUGUCACCAUCUCAGUGCAGCCAUGUAAGGCCCCAAACAAGACCAGCAGAACCACCAUCUGCAUCUUGUCUACCCUGAUUGUGACAAAUAGUACAUUGCGGUUUUCAGCCACUAAAUGUAAGGGUGAGUUGUUAAGCAGCAGUAAAUUUGAAUCGGUCAGCUCACGUGGGUUCAAGCCCCAGCUCUGCCAGUACUUACAAUGUGAUCUUAAUCACUGAAUCUUCCUGAGCUUUCAUUUCCUUUGCAGAAUGAAGGUUGGGGUUUCAUUCAUCCCUUUAACAAACAUUUAUUGAAGAUCUCCUGUGGGCCAGGUGUGACAAUGGUGUACCUGGCAUGUAGUGGGAGCUCAAAAAAUAUUAGUGGUCUUUCAUCUUGCUCUUUUGUCCUUUAAUUAAUAAAUAGCACAACAAAAUGUUUUAUCACCUAUUUUCAGUUGAGUCUCAGUUCUCUGCAGUUAUCACCUUGCAUAGAAGCUACUGAAACCUCAUUUUUUUCUUUUUUGGGACAGGGUCUCCUGUAGCCCAGGUUGGAAUGCAGUGGCACAAUCUUUGCUCAUUGCAACCUUGAUUUCCUGGGCUCAAGUGAUCAUCCUGCCUCAGCCUCCCAAGUAGCUGGGACUACUGGUGUACACCCCCAUGCCUGACUAAUUUUUUUGUAGAGAUAGGGUUUUGCCAUGUUGCCCAGGCUGAUCUCAAACUCCUGGGCUUGAGCUAUCCUGCUCUCCUCUGCCUCCCCAAAUGCUGGGAUUACAGGUGUGUGCCACCACACCCAGCUAAUUUUUGUAUUAUUGGUAGAGACGGGGUUUUACCAUGUUGGCCAGGCUGGUCUCGAACUCCUGACCUCAGGUGAUCCACCUGCCUCGGUCUCUCAAAGUAUCGGGAUUACAGGUGUGAGCCACUGUGCCUGGCCAGGAUCUUAUUUUUUAUGGCUGAAUAGUACUCCAUUGUGUAUACAUACCACGUUUUCUUUUCUUUUUUUUUUUGAGAUGGAGUCUCGCUCUGUUGCCCAGGCUGGAGUGCAGUGGCGUGAUCUCGGCUCACUGCAAGCUCCACUUCCUGGUUCAGCCUUCUGAGUAGCUGGGAUUACAGGCGUCUGGCACCACACCUGGCUAAUUUUUGUAUUUUUAUUUUAUUUUAUUUUAUUUUAUUAUUAUUAUUAUUAUUAUUAUUAUUAUUAUUAUUAUUAUUUGAGACGGAGUCUCGCCCUGUCGCCCAGGCUGGAGUGCAGUGGCGCAAUCUUGGCUCACUGCAAGCUCCGCCUCCCAGGUUCACGCCAUUCUCCUGCCUCAGCCUCCCGAGUAGCUGAGACUACAGGCGACCGCCACCGCAUCCGGCUAAUUUUUUGUAUUUUUAGUAGAGAUGGGGUUUCUCCGUGUUAGCCAGGAUGGUCUCAAUCUCCUGACCUUGUGAUCCGCCCGCCUUGGCCUCCCUAAGUGUUGGGAUUACAGGCGUGAGCCACCACGUCUGGCUAAUUUUUGCAUUUUUAGUAGAGAGAGGUUUCACCAUGUUGGCCAGGCUGGUCUCAAACUCCUGACCUUGUGAUCUGCCUGCCUCAGCCUCCCAAAGUGUGAGCCAGCGCUCCCUGCUGAUUUUUGUAUUUUUAGUAGAGACGGGGUUUACCAUGUUGGCCAACCUGGUCUCAAACUCCUGACCUCAGGUGAUCUGCCUGCCGCGGCCUCCUAAAGUGAUGGGAUUACAGGCAUGAGCCACCAUGCCUGGCCUGUAUAUCUUAUUUUGAGAAAUGUCUAUUCAGAUCUUUUGCCUAUUUUUAAAUUGGAUUAUUAUGUUUUUUCCUUAAAGAGUUGUUUGAGCUCCUUAUAUGUUCUAGAUUUUGGAUUUUCGAAUUAGGGAUGCUCAACCUGGUAAGUAUUAUGCAAAUAUUCUAAAAUCUGAAAAAGAAUUUGAAAUCCAAAACACUUCUGGUUGCAAGCAUUUUGGAUAAGGGAUACUCAACUUGUACUAACCUGUGACCCCUGACUUCAGAGACUUUGCAAUCCUGGGAGACUGAAUAUAAUCAGGUGCUAAGAUGCAGUUGUAUGCAAGCUGACAGGAAGACAAUUUGGCCCAGUGUUCCUGAGGUAGACUUCAUGGCAAGAAGGGAUUUAGCUAUUCAUAGAAGAGUGUGUAGGUCAUUUAGAGAUGGAGGAUGGAAAGAGAGUGGAAGCAAAAGCCAGAAACAAGAGAAGAACCUGCUAGAGGUGUAAAAUGCAAACUGGUCAGUAGUUGGACAAAAGACUGAAGGAUCUAGAAUGUAAGAAACCUUGAAUGAAAGUCAGGAUGAGUGGUUUUGGUCUGAUGAGACUCUUGCUUUUCCAUUAAGCAGUGUUUGGAGAUUAAUUUGGAGGUGAUAUGGAGGACAAAUUGCUCACAGGGCUCCCACUGAGCAAAUGUCCUGCAGGGACAGCAGGUCUGAGUGGGAGCCAUGAGUUUCCCAGAUGUGCUCCAGGUUCCACAUUAAAGCCAGGUGGCAGGUGGGGCCUAUUUCUUUUUCUCUGUCCAUAAGACUGUUCACCCAUUGGGAAGAACCAUAUACUAUAUCAUCUGACCUUUUUCAUUUAGCCCAGCCUAUGGCUAACUGUGUCAUUUUGGUGUCCAUUAGCCCAAGGUUUUUACUCUGGCAACACUAAUGGGGACCUAUGGAAGUGGAAUGUGCUAUUUCAGUUUCAGUGCCAGGCCAUGCACAGUGGCUCACGCCUGUAAUCCCAGCACUUUGGGAGGCCGAGGUGGGUGGAUCACUUGAGGUCAGGAGUUCGAGACCAGCCUAGCCAACAUGGUGAAACCCCAUCUCUACUAAAAAUACAAAAAUGAGCUGGGCGCGGUGGUGGGCACCUAUAAUCCCAGGUACUUGGGAGGCUGAGGCAGGAGAAUCGCUUGAACCCGGAAGUCGGAGGCUGCAGUGAGCCAAGAUCGCUCCACUGCACUCCAGCCUAGGCGACAGCGAGAUUCCAUCUCAAAAAUAAAUAAAUAAAUAAAUAAAUAAAUAAAUAAAUAAAUAAAAUAAAUUCAGUGCCUUGGGAGAGCUUCGGGAAAGGAAAUUUCAUGAAACUACCACAAGAGGGCGGCACUUUAUACUCCUUUUGUGAGUGAGAAAAUUCUCAUAAAAUUUAAAAGGCUUGCUAGCAAUUCCUGGGCUCUUUUCUCAAAAGUGGAAAGAAACCCUACAAUAUUCUUUGGCAGUGAGUUACAUGUAUAUGCAGCAUUUCUUUAUAAAGACACAGGAGAAUGAAAAGUACCUUGGGAAGGUGGUUUAGCCCAGCAUUCCUUGUGUUUUUUUGGCAGUGAUGACCUGGCAGCUUCUGAAGCCUGGCCAUUGAUUAGGAUUAUAGAGCACAAGAUACUGUUGUGUUUAUCCCCUGAGCCCAAGGAUGUUAGAUCUUAUCCAUGCCUGUGAUGAUAUCUGUUAUUUAUUGAGUACUUAGCAUAAUGCUUGGCACAUUACAGUCUUACUUCCAUCAACUUGUUGAAUCUUCACAGACAAAUUUGGAGGUUGGUUUUAUAUAGCCCAUUUUCCAGACGCGGUUCAGUGAUAGAGUUAUCUGUAUGCUCUAUAUACCACAUCUACCCCAACUAUGACCUUGGGCCUUUCUUCAUGUUUUUCAAGCUAAUACUAUAUUGAAAGAUAAAGUAUCUGGCACAACACUGCAGACAGUUGUCUUUAAUAGCAAUCCUCACACUCUAUAAACAAACCUGCUUAGAAUAUUUGAUGGUACUCACACACCUGGUGAUUUUGCCAUUGAAAAUUAUACUUCAGUUUUUAUUCCCUAGGAAUCAAAAGGGAUAAAGUUCCUAUCUUAUUUUUGUUUUUGAGACAGGGUCCCUCACUUUGUCACCCAGGCUGUAGUGCAGUGGUGUGGUCUCGGCUCACUGCAACCUCUGACUCCUGGGCUCAAGCGAUCCUUUCCAUCUCAGCCUUCCGAGUAGUUGGAACUACAGGCAUGCACUGGCUAAUUUUUGUAUUUUUUGUAGAAAUGGGGUAUCACCAUUUUGCCCAGGCUGGUCUCGAACUCCUGGGCUCAAGCAAUCCACUUGCCUCAGCCUCCAAAAUGCUAGGAUUACAGGCAUGAGCCACCAUGCCUGGCCUCUAUCCUUAGUUUUAAAGUCAUCUCUUGGGAACAGCUUAUAGGAUUUUAAAAUCUCCAUCAGAUAGUCUUUGCCUUCUAUCUAGAAGUUUAGUCCGUUUGCAUUUAUUUUGAUUCCUGAUAUAUUUUGGUUUAUUUCUUUCGUCUUAUGUGCUUUAUAUUUUAUUUGUUGUGCUAUUUUUGUUUAUUUGCCUUUUUUCUUCCUGUUUUGGAGGCACUAUCAACCUAAUGCCACUUUUUUUUUUCUUUUCUGAGAUGGGGUUUUGCUCUUGUUGCCCAGACUGGAGUGCAAUGGUACAAUCUCGGCUCACCACAACCUCCGCCUCCCGGGUUCAAGCGAUUCUCCUGCCUCAGCCUCUCGAGUGGCUGGGAUUACAGGCAUGAGCCAACAUGCCCAGCUGAUUUUUGAAUUUUUGGUAGAGACGGGGUUUCACCAUGUUGGACAGGAUGGUCUCGGCCUCUUGACCUUGUGAUCCACCCGUCUUGGCCUUCCAAAGUGCUGGGAUUACAGGUGUGAGCCAUCACGCCUGGCCUGAAAGUCUUGAAAAAAAUAAAUUAAAAUUUUCAUUUGAGUUUUUUGGAACAUACAGAUACAGUUGACCCUUGAACAACAUGGGUUUGAACUUCACAGAUCCACUUAUAUGUGAUUUUCUUCCAUCUCUGCCACCCCUAAGACAGCAAGACCGACCCCUUUUCUUCCUCCUCCUCCUCCUCCUCAGCCUACUCAGCAUGAAGAUGACAAGGAUGAAGACUUACGAUGAUCCACUUUUGCUUGAUGAAUAUUAAAUAUAUUUUCUCCUCUUCAUGAUCUUCUUAAUAACAUUUUUUCCUAGCUAGCUUAUUCUAUUGCAAGAAUACAGUAUUAAUACAUGUAACAUAUAAAAUUUGUGUUAACUGACUUUAUGUUAUCAGUAAAACUUCCAUUCAACAGCAGACUACCAUUAGUUAACUUCUGGGGAAGUCAAAAGCUAUACAUGGGUUUUUGACUGCAGGGGGGUCAGCACUCCUAGACCCAGUGUUGUUCAAGGGUCAACUGUAGCAUAUGAAUUUAGAGCCUCUCUGUGAGAGCUGCCUUGUGGCUAGAACUUCUCAAUGGAGACUUUUUCUCCUCUACUUUCUGCCAAGGUCAAGAGAAAUACAUGUCUCUUUCUGCAUGGCGGGUUUAUUUUUUAUUGUCCAUUAUUGAGCAUGAGGAACUUGGUGCUCCAGCUUUGGGUGGGUCUCUACCCACCCACUUCAGAGCACGUCUGAAGUGACUUUACUGAGCUGAGCGUUACCACCAUAGUGAGUGCUAUUGGUAACCUGCCCAGAUCACCUUACUGGCUGGUGCAUCAGCCCCUCCCCUUAGUUUCUGCGAGUGUGCAAAUCAGUGGGAGACCAGGUAUCCCCUUUGAUCUUCUUCAUCUAAAGUGUCUUCCUACUUAUGUGAUUCUGUGUACUAUGGAGCUCUUAGGAAAUAGAAAUGGAAGUUGAAGUUAUUAGAAGUGAAAGGAUCAGCCUACAAAAAUAGCUUCCAACAGAUAAAAUCCAGCAUCUGCUCCAUUUCUCUCCAGUUAGGAAUGCGCAGCCAAACUAGGGUAAUAUCAGCAGGACACCAGUUAUAUUUCUCUGGAUAAAUGGUUAAUUUUCUUCUUUCUUUUUUUUCUUUUCUUUUCAGACGGAGUCUUGCUCUGUCACCCAAGCUGGAGUACAGUGGUACAAUCUCGGCUCACUGCAACCUCCGCCUCCUGGGUUCAAGCGAUUCUCCUGCCUCAGCCUCCCAAGUAGCUGGGAUUACAGAAGCGCACCACCACACCUGGUUAAUUUUUGUAUUUUUAGUAGAGACGAGGUUUCACCAUGUUGGCCAGGCUGGUCUCAAACUUCUGACCUCAAGUGAUCCACCCACCUCGGCCUCCCAAAGUGCUGGGAUUACAGGCAUGAGCCACCACGCCUGGCCAGAGUUGUCUUGAUAGAGGUCUUGUAAUUAUUUGAAUUAGAAAAUUUUCUGUUAAAAUAUGUCCACAAAUUCUUUGGUAACCCUCCCUUCAAGAAGUGAAGCCUAAAUCCCUUCCCUUCCAGUGUGAGCUAGACUUAGUGACUCAGUUCUAUGAGUAAAAGUGGUGGAACUGAUAGUGUGACUUCUGAGACUAGGUCAUAAUAGGCAUUGUGGCUUCCUCCUUGCUCUCCCUCUCAGAUCACUUGCUCUGGGGGAAACCAGCAGCCAUGUUGUGAGGACACCCAAGCAGCUCUAUGGAGAGGCCUACAUGGAGAGUAACCAAGGUCCCCUAUCAAUAGCCAGCAAGGAACAGAAGCCUCCUGCCAACAGUCACGUGUGAGCCAUGUUGAGAGCAGAUCUUUCAGUCCCAGUCAGACCUUCCAAUAAUUGUAGCCCUAGCUGAGAAUUUGACUGAAAUAUCCGGAACCACAUCUGCCUAGUUAAGCCACUCCCAAAUUUAUAACCCACAGAACAGAAACUACAUACAAUAAUACAUAAUUGUUUAUUGUUUUAGGCUGUUAUGUUUUGGGAAUAAUUUGUUAUGCAGCAUUAGAUGACAUAUACAUUCCGUCACAUAAAAUUACACUUCAUCAGAUCAGGAUGGUUGGUUUGUGUUUGUGGUGGGUAUUUAUGUGUAUUAGUAACCAGUGGAGGCCUGACAGUAAUCACUAGGGGACCAAUGGCUCAGGCAGGCAGAGUGUUCCCUGCCUCAGGGCCUGGCAUUCUGAUGCAGAAGGCCAGGUGUUGGUGUGGUGGCCAUCUUUGGGCCUUCUGGUCCUGAUUGGUUGGGUUACAGUGCCAGGAUCCCUGUACUGAGGUUUCAGGUAGGUUAGCUUGGGGGAAGGCAUAUGACACACAGGCAGUUUUGGAUUUGGGGCUUGGACCUGGGUUCCAUGGAAAUCAGGCAUUGCAACAUCUUCGUUAGCCUUGCCAGGAGAGAUUGGUGUGAAAUAAUUUAUCCUGUUUCUCCUGGUCACAUGUCCCUAUUAUUCCAUUGCAGUUUGUAUAUAUAUGUGAAGUUUUGGUGCUGGAUUGAGAAGGGAAGGGAUUUGGGAGGGAAGUUAGAAAUUAUUUUAAUUGUACAGCUUAUGAAAUUGCUGUAAAAAUCUUCGUCUCUCUGCCAGGGCUUUGCCUGACUUUCUGAGUCUGGGGGAUUCUCCUGAGAACCCCUGGGGGCCUGGUUGGGUGGUGGCUGUAACAGUUGAUGAGGUUAAGGUGGCUGACUCUCUUUAGAACACUCAGAGACAUGGGUGAGAGGGUCUCUGGGGCCCUCUGAGGCCUCACUGCUUACCUGGGUCUGGGAGCACAGAGUGGAGGAAAGGAAGGAGCUGUGUGCAAGAUAGCUGGGCUGUUGCAGAGUCCUGGACUGUGACUCCCACCCUACCUAGGCUCUGCCCUUGCCAUCAAGGCCUUCUUAAUGGUCUGGCCCCUGGCUUCUUCCCCCUAAGAAAUAUUCUGCAUAGAACCAUGAUAUGACACUAAGUGAACAUAGAAUCCCCAGAGACAACGCUCUGCAUUGUACCUUUUGCAAAACUCUUCAGAGAAACCAUCUUCAAGGUCUUUUGUACAAUAAUCAUGUUAUCAAAUUCCUUUUAGAAUUUGGUGCAUGAAAAAGAUUUUUCUGCCCUGGGUAAGGCAGGUUUCCUUCCAAGAUAAGAGGCACUGGGCAACUCACUCGCUCCUGUGAUUCACUGUUUUCACUCCCUGUUUUGUGCUCCAUGGUGUAAGCUUCCCUUGGGCUGGGUACUGGGGUAUCACCAGUCUUCCCACCAAUCCCCACUCUCCAUGACUGGUCUUUGGUCCAUUUACCUUUAUUUUCAUUCACUUUCAUUUACUUUGAUUCAUUUAUCUAUUUGUAGAGACAAGGGUCUUGCUCUGUUGCUCAGGCUCAUCUGAAACCCCUGGCCUCCCACUUCAGCCUCUUAAAGUGUUGGGAUUACAGGUGUGAGCCACCACUCCUGGCCAGACUUGUUGUUACAGCGUCUCACUCUGUUGCCCAGACUGGAGUGCAGUGACGUGAUCUUAGCUAACUGCAACCUCUGCCUCCUGGGCUCAAGUGAUCCUUCUGCCUCAGCCUCCCAAGUAGCUGGGAUUACAGGUGCAUACCACCAUGCCUAGCUAAUUUUUUUGUAGGGAUGGGGUUUCGCCACAUUGCCCGGGCUGGUCUUGAACUCCUGGGCUCAAGCGAUCCACCCACCUUGGUCUCCCAAAGUGCUGGGACUACAGGUGUGAGCCACUGUGCCUGGCCUGGACCUUUCAUUUAAACCAGCUCACUUCCUCUGGAUUGAGAAAUGUAGGCCCUUCUCCAUCCCCCUCCUGGUUAGGGAAGCUGGCAGAAACCCGUGUCCUAAACUGUAUCCCAUGGAAAAAGUCUACGAGGGUGGUCAUGGCCCUUCCCCAACUCCGAAAAUCGGGAGGCAAGGUCGACCACUGUGAGCGUGGGGUUCAGAGCUGUCUGAACCAAGAUAUUUGGGAGGGCAGUUAGUGCAGAGAUGGCUCCAGCUUCCCUAAAGGACAGGUGAAGCCACUGUCUUCCUCCUUCGGUAGCUGACAAGGGCCUGAAGGAAUCAAAGUUCAUGCAUUCCAAGAGAGGAGACAGAGCAUGUAUGUGAGAGGAAAGAGGGGAGAGAACCUUGGUUUGGUAUGUGUGAAACUGGGGUACUUGAGGAUCAGCCCUAGGGUCGAGGCUCCCUGGAGUCCUAGCCAUCAGUGGGGAGGUCUCUGAGCACUCUUUCCAGAGGCUGACCUCCACGGAUGAGUCUGAGAUGGGGCGUGGCCAGAAUCUGGUCCGAUUCCAGGGGGCCGAGAUAUAGGAAGGUGUCCAGAGGCAGGCAGUGUGGUCCUGCUGGCAGAAUUGGAGGUCCCAGGGCCCUGCGCCUUCUUGUCCAUGGCCUGGCUUUGGCUGGCAGAGGGAGGAGUGGUCUCUGGAAAACGAACCAAGACAAGAAAGAGGAAGUGGGAGAUUUUGUACAGGUUGGAUUGGAGCUCUCUGGAGUCGCCCUGCGGUGUGUGUAGGUUUUAGUCCUAUUUGGUGAUGUGAGAGCUGUCGGAUUGCACUCAGCUGUCUCGGGGUCACCUUGGCCUGGCUUUUGCAUAAACACAUCUGUUGGAGGAGUAUGGUCUUCUGGCUAGAGAACUUGAUUUUGAACCUGGCCUUAGGCUAGACUCUCUGAUCCCGGGUUUUCUAGAGUACAAAAUUGGGACAAGAAUAACGGCAGCCUCGCAGGGUGACUGCCGGGGUCAAAAGUGAUGACGGAAGGGGAGGGGCUGUGGGAAUUGUUUGGAAUCAGAUCUACUUUCCAAUCCUUCAUUAACUUGUUUCCUUCCCCUCCUCUAACUCCAAGUUAGGGAAAAUGACUGCUCUUUACUAAACCCAGUCCCUCUUGUUCUGGGACACAGAAAUGGGCUCUGGUUCCCUUGUGGAUGAGUGUGGCCUGUGCUGGAGUUCCAGGCUUUGAUGGGACCACAUCCAGGUGUGUCCCCUAAGCUCUUCCCCUUGCACUAGCUUGAUGCAGGCAGAGCCCCAAGAUGGAAGGAGCCAGGGUCCCCAUAUCAGCACUUGAGGCUGUCAGGUGAAAGCACCCAGUUUGGACUUUGUGUUGAGUGAGAAAUGAACUUUUAUGGUGUCUGAGCCACUAGCCAUUUUGGGCCUCUUUGUUGCAGCAGCUAGUAUCAUUUUAUUAUAGCGAAUACUUAAUAAUAAAAAAUGAAUAAAAUUCCAGUUACUAAGAAAUUGGAAUGCUUGUAUAAAAAAAAAGUUCAGGCCAGGUGCAGUGGCUCAUGCCUGUAAUCCCAGCACUUUGGGAGGCCGUUUGAGGCGGAUCACUUGAGGCUGAUCAUUUGAGGUCAGGAGUUUGAGACCAGCCUGGCCAACGUGGUGAAAUCCCAUCUCUACUAAAAAUACAAAAAUUAGCCAGGCAUGGUGGCAGGUGCCUGUAAUAACAGCCACUCAGAAGACUGAGCAGGAGAAUCACUUGAACCUGGGAGGCAGAGGUUGCGGUGAUCAGAGAUCGUGCCACUGCACUCCAGCCUGGGCGACAGAGUGUGACUCCAUCUCAAAAAAAUAAAGUUCAAAUUCCUAAACUGUCAGUCAUUCCUUAUGCAUCUCAUUCACUUCUUACAUCCAAGGCUAAAGUGUCUGCGUGCAGACACUGUUUAAUUUUAAAACAGAGAUGAUCUCUGGAAAAUGGGAUCAUCUCAGAGAUGGUCUCUUUCAACUUGACCUUUCCUCACUCCUAAUUUGAGGUGGUCUAUGAUCACUCCCCUUUGAAGCCCCAGGAUAUUUUCACUUGAUCUUAGCCAAAAGGCCGAGGAGCAAUAGCCCCAAGAUACUUUCCUGGGAACUUUUUAUGUUGACUUUUCUCACUCUAUUAUUCUAGAUAUUCCAGUGCUUCUCUUUUCAGAGAAUAUAAACUAUAGCACACGUUGCUUAAGGAUGCGGAUACAUUCUGAGAAAUGCAUCAUUAGGUGAUUUUGUUGUUGUGUGACCAUCAUAGAAUGUACUUACCCAAACCUAGACGGCAUGGCCUGUUAUACACAUAGGCUAUAUGGUUCAGCCUAUUGCUCCUAGAUUAUAAACCUGCACAACACUUACUGUACUGAAUACUUUAUAAACAGUUGGAACAUAAUGGUAAAUAUUUGUGUAUCUAAACAUAGAAAAGGUAGAGUAUAUGAAAGAUGACAAAUGGUAAACCUGUCUAGGGCACUGACCAUGAGUGGAGCUUGCAGGACUGGAAGUUGCUCUGGGUGAGUCAGUGAGUGGGUGAUGAGUGAAUGUGAAAGCCUAGGACACCACUGUCACUACUGCAGACUUUAUAAACACUGCGCACUUAGGUUACACUCAAUUUACAAAUAUUUUUUCUAGGCCGGACGCGGUGGCUCAGGCCUGUCAUCCCAGCACUUUGGGAGGCCGAGGCGGGCGGAUCACGAGGUCAGGAGUUCAAGAACGGCCUGGCCAACAUGGUGAAACCCUGUCUCUACUAAAAGUACAAAAAAUUAGCCAGGCAUGGUGGUGGGCACCUGUAAUCCCAGCUACUCAGGAGGCUGAGGCAGGAGAAUCACUUGAACCCUGGAGGUGGAGGCUGCAGUGAGCCGAGAUCACACCACUGCAUUCCAGC